AAAGAUUCAUCGCUGAUAGAUAGGCAUGCGUUCCAUUAGGCAGUUGGCGGGGUAACGGCCCACCAAACCGACGAUGGAUAGGGGUUCUGAGAGGAAGGUCCCCCACAUUGGUACUGAGACACGGACCAAACUCCUACGGGAGGCAGCAGUGAGGAAUAUUGGUCAAUGGGCGUAAGCCUGAACCAGCCAAGUCGCGUGAGGGAUGAAGGUUCUAUGGAUCGUAAACCUCUUUUAUAAGGGAAUAAAGUGCGGGACGUGUCCCGUUUUGUAUGUACCUUAUGAAUAAGGAUCGGCUAACUCCGUGCCAGCAGCCGCGGUAAUACGGAGGAUCCGAGCGUUAUCCGGAUUUAUUGGGUUUAAAGGGUGCGUAGGCGGCCUUUUAAGUCAGCGGUGAAAGUCUGUGGCUCAACCAUAGAAUUGCCGUUGAAACUGGGAGGCUUGAGUAUGUUUGAGGCAGGCGGAAUGCGUGGUGUAGCGGUGAAAUGCUUAGAUAUCACGCAGAACCCCGAUUGCGAAGGCAGCCUGCCAAGCCAUGACUGACGCUGAUGCACGAAAGCGUGGGGAUCAAACAGGAUUAGAUACCCUGGUAGUCCACGCAGUAAACGAUGAUCACUAGCUGUUUGCGAUACAGUGUAA
Molecule: ribosomal RNA, 636 nt
Filed under: uncultured bacterium
Lineage: Bacteria
Description: bacterial SSU rRNA
Rfam family: Bacterial small subunit ribosomal RNA
Source: RNAcentral